UACGGAGGGUGCAAGCGUUAUCCGGAUUCACUGGGUUUAAAGGGUGUGUAGGCGGGCAGUUAAGUCAGUGGUGAAAUCUCCGGGCUCAACCCGGAAACUGCCAUUGAUACUAUCUGUCUUGAAUUUUGUUGAGGUAGGCGGAAUAUGUCAUGUAGCGGUGAAAUGCAUAGAUAUGACAUAGAACACCAAUUGCGAAGGCAGCUUACUAAAUUAUAACUGACGCUGAGGCACGAAAGUGUGGGUAUCAAACAGG
Molecule: ribosomal RNA, 253 nt
Filed under: uncultured bacterium
Lineage: Bacteria
Description: partial 16S ribosomal RNA
Rfam family: Bacterial small subunit ribosomal RNA
Source: RNAcentral